Molecule: long non-coding RNA, 1521 nt
Filed under: Macaca mulatta (Rhesus monkey)
Lineage: Eukaryota; Metazoa; Chordata; Mammalia; Primates; Cercopithecidae
Description: lncRNA (ENSMMUG00000053606.1)
Source: RNAcentral
CCCAAUUUUUGAUCCAGUGGAAGAGUGAGACGUGACAGUCAGCUGACGGAGGAUGAAAGGCCACCUAUGUUACCCACAAAGCAGGUGCUGAAGAGUCCUCACACUGACUCCUAGAACAGGUCCGCACCCAUCCUGACUCAGGCCACACUGCAUGGCAGGAGAGAGAGAGAGAGGAGUAGAGAGAAGGAGGAGUAAAGAGAGGUAGAGAUAAAGAUACAGAAAGACAGAAAGACAGAAAGAGAAAGAGAUAGAGAUGUAGACAGAUAAAGAUAGAAAAGAUAUAGAGACAUAGAGAUAGAGAGAGUUAGAGAAAGAGAGAGAGAAAUGUAGAGAGAGAUUGAGAGGGCAGAGGGAGAUGGGACUUCCUGGGCGAACAAGCAAUAGGAACAGGUGAACCUGUUCCGGCGGGUUGGGAAGACCUGGCUGGGACAGGCGGGCUGAAGGUGCCUGUGCUUCACCUGCAUGUCUGGUUUGCUUUCCCAGGUUCCUCACCCUGUAGGCUCUGCCAAGGCCUGAGUAUGAUGCUGUGGGUGAUUCACUGCCCAGAAGAUGAUGAGGGCCUGGGUCAGGACCAGCCUGGAAAUACUGCUGCAGUCACCGCUUCUCCAGCAAGGACCCUGAUGGCUUUGCCUGAACAGGCUCAUGGGGUAAGUGUGUCUCCUUCACAUUACACUAGACUGAGGCGGGGUUUCACAGAACUUUGGGUUAAGGUGGGAGCUGGUUCCAAAUUGUUGGAAAAAUUGUUUUGAGGGUGAGCUUGGAGUCCUGGAAAGAACAUGAGCUGUGGAGUCGAACAUCACAGCCCAGUGGUAGGUGGCAUUUGUGCUGGGCCUGCCAGAGCAGCCUGUCAGGGAAAACCUUCAGAGACAGCGUCAUAGCAGGUGUGCACACCCCGCUACACAUUCAUCUCAGGGUGAGCUGUCGGACCCUCAGGCUACGGGACUGCUGUGCCCCAUGGUCAGGGUGGCACCGGCUCCUCCUCCCCUGGAACAGUCAGGGGCUGGGGAGCCACGUCUGGAUUUGUAGUUGUAUAGGGUGGAAGUCUGCAGCAAAGUUUGCCCCGUCUUGUGGCUGGCAGGCGUGAUGGUUUAUGUGCAUGUGUGCAUGUAAGUGUGUGGUGGGUUCCCAAAAUUGAUUCCUAAGCAUUUGGCUGUGCCCACUUUGAAGGAGGUCACCUCUGUAUUUUGGGAGGGAUCCUGCUUCAAGGCGUGAAUCUUCAAUGCGGAUAUUUGAGGCACCAUGUGAGAGCAGGCAAGGCCCGGAGUGUCUCAGGUGGGUCCAUGUGGAGGAUGGGAGGACCCGACUUCCUGGCUCCGAUUGCCCAGCAGGCAUUUGUCUGCAGACCCUGCUUUAGCAGGGAGAAGCUGCAGAAAUGCCACCCCCCGGGCGGGAUAGGAGACACUGAUCCUGAUGUGAGUGAUGGUGUGUGAUCUCCCCUGCCCUGAACCUGGCGUAGAAAUCCCCUCUCAUCAUAACACUCUCACCAAAUCUUGCCUCUCCCUUUGGCACAAUAUGGCUUUU